AGAAUCCUUUGCUGCAAAGAAGAACGAAAUGCAGCACGGUAAACCCCUGAACACCUUUUAACAUCAGGCCGCUCUCAUGGCAGGAGGAGAUGAAACGAGAUGGAAGUCUCCUACAACCCACGGCAGCCUAUGAUGUUGUGACCUGCACUCCCCGACACAGCUCGAGGCGGCCCCGCAGUGCCGCGCUCUCCCCUCGGGGGUCCCCACCACGUCGGACCGGGGCGCGCAACGCGCCUGCGCCACCGCCGCAGCGCGUAGAACACUGCUGUAGAGCUCUACACGGCGCCGCCGGCGGGAACGGCAGCGCAGCGCUGACCAAUGGGCGCUCGGCCGCCACUGAGGUCAGUUCCGCUGCCUGCCGCUGUGCUCCGCCGAGGUUGCGGCAGCGACGGGGGGCGCGGGUGCGCCCUCGCUGGGGUAAGUAGCGCAGGGCCGUGCGGCCGCCGAGCUGGGGGAGCGGGAGGAAGCGUGCGGCCGGAGACAAGGGGCGCGCGGCCGGCAGGGUUUUCCAGGCGCCACUGCGGGGGACAGCGCUUGUCUCGUUCUCCGAG
RNAcentral lists this long non-coding RNA (551 nucleotides) under Gallus gallus (chicken). RNAcentral describes it as "long non-coding RNA NONGGAT007243". Lineage: Eukaryota; Metazoa; Chordata; Aves; Galliformes; Phasianidae. The record is from RNAcentral.